Molecule: ribosomal RNA, 500 nt
Filed under: uncultured Myrionecta
Lineage: Eukaryota; Ciliophora; Litostomatea; Cyclotrichida; Mesodiniidae
Description: bacterial SSU rRNA
Rfam family: Eukaryotic small subunit ribosomal RNA
Source: RNAcentral
AACUUACCAGGUCAAGACAUGGGCGUGAUUGACAGGCUAAUGACUUUUCUCGAUUCCAUGGAUGGUGGUGCAUGGUCGCACUUAGUUGGUGCAGUGAUUUGUCAGGUUUAUUCCGGUAACGAACGAGACCUCGGCCUUGUAAAUAGCUAUGCUGCUUACAGGGACAUUGGCGGCUACGCCAAGGAAGCUCGAGGCAAUUGCAGAUCUGGAAUGCCCUUAGAUGUCCUGGGUCGCACGCGUGCUACAAUGACGCCACGAACGAGCUUGCGUGAUGAAAGUUACGCAUAAUCAGCAGUCGGCGUCUUAAGGGAUAGUCUCUUGUAACUGUGGGACUCCAACUAGGAAUGUCUCGUAAGCACAAGUCAACAUCUUGUGUUGAUUACGUCCCUGCUCUUUGUACACACCGCCCGUCGCUCCUACCGAUCGAGUGUUUAGGUGAAUUUGAUGGACGUAAGGAAGUCAAAUAAACCUGAGCACUAGAGAAGAGAAGUCGAGCAUUC